Molecule: ribosomal RNA, 230 nt
Filed under: Salmonella enterica
Lineage: Bacteria; Pseudomonadati; Pseudomonadota; Gammaproteobacteria; Enterobacterales; Enterobacteriaceae
Description: partial 23S ribosomal RNA
Rfam family: Bacterial large subunit ribosomal RNA
Source: RNAcentral
GGGUUGUGAGGUUAAGCGACUAAGCGUACACGGUGGAUGCCCUGGCAGUCAGAGGCGAUGAAGGACGUGCUAAUCUGCGAUAAGCGCCGGUAAGGUGAUAUGAACCGUUAUAACCGGCGAUUUCCGAAUGGGGAAACCCAGUGUGAUUCGUCACACUAUCAUUAACUGAAUCCAUAGGUUAAUGAGGCGAACCGGGGGAACUGAAACAUCUAAGUACCCCGAGGAAAAGA